This 363-nucleotide long non-coding RNA is filed under the name Cyanistes caeruleus (blue tit). RNAcentral's name for it is "lncRNA (ENSCCEG00000011307.1)". The record is from RNAcentral. Lineage: Eukaryota; Metazoa; Chordata; Aves; Passeriformes; Paridae.
GUUAUCAGCUGAGGUCACUAUCCUAAUAUACAACGUGCUGCACAGAAGAGGAACAUUGCUAUAAAUCAUACCCUAGCUACAUAAAGGUGAACAAAAGACAAAAAGCUUGGCCCUGCUCACAGUCUGGCUUCCUUAGGAGGAGGACACAUUACCCUUGGAGCAAGAGAAAAUAUAUACUGAAGUGAAUGUAAGGAAAAUGCUGUGAAAAAUACCAAGAUUUCAAACCUGGACUGCUCAGGUAAUGCACAUUACUGCCUCAGAGUCCUCUUAUUGUCUAUCUUUGCAAACAGCUGGCAACAGCUCUUGGUAAAUAAAAUCAUCUUGGUGAGUGUGAGAGCUGAGGGACCCCCAGGGGGACAGGAG